This 253-nucleotide ribosomal RNA is filed under the name uncultured bacterium. RNAcentral describes it as "partial 16S ribosomal RNA". It matches the Rfam family "Bacterial small subunit ribosomal RNA", at positions 524 to 776 of the family's 1533-position model. The record is from RNAcentral.
UACGAAGGGUGCAAGCGUUACUCGGAAUUACUGGGCGUAAAGCGUGCGUAGGUGGUUUGUUAAGUCUGUUGUGAAAGCCCCGGGCUCAACCUGGGAAUGGCAAUGGAUACUGGCAGGCUAGAGUGCGGUAGAGGGUAGUGGAAUUCCCGGUGUAGUGGUGAAAUGCGUAGAGAUCGGGAGGAACACCAGUGGCGAAGGCGGCUACCUGGACCAGCACUGACACUGAGGCACGAAAGCGUGGGGAGCAAACAGG